GAUGAAGAACGCAGCGAAAUGCGAUACUUGGUGUGAAUUGCAGAAUCCCGUGAACCAUCGAGUCUUUGAACGCAAGUUGCGCCCGAAGCCUCGGCUAAGGGCACGUCUGCCUGGGCGUCACGCAUCGCGUCUCCCCCAAACCGCCAAGGCGGAGGGGAAGGAAGAUGGCUUCCCGUGCCUCACCCGGGCGCGGUUGGCCUAAAUUUGGAGCCCGCGGCACUUAGCUCUCGCGGCGAUAGGUGGUGAACAAGGCCUUGGCCGUGCAAACAACCCGCUGCGAAGCUCUAUGUCACGUGCGCUCGUCGGACCCUUUGAAGUUGCCUUUGGUGACUUAAAACCUUUGCGACCCCAGGUCGGGCGGGGCUACCCGCUGAAUUUAAGCAUAUCAAAAGCGGAGGA
Molecule: unclassified non-coding RNA, 399 nt
Filed under: soil metagenome
Description: partial contains 5.8S ribosomal RNA, internal transcribed spacer 2, and large subunit ribosomal RNA
Rfam family: 5.8S ribosomal RNA (bases 1-120)
Source: RNAcentral